This 492-nucleotide ribosomal RNA is filed under the name uncultured bacterium. RNAcentral describes it as "partial 16S ribosomal RNA". It matches the Rfam family "Bacterial small subunit ribosomal RNA", at positions 29 to 507 of the family's 1533-position model. The record is from RNAcentral.
AGUGAACGCUGGCGGUAGGCCUAACACAUGCAAGUCGAACGGCAGCACAGUAAGAGCUUGCUCUUACGGGUGGCGAGUGGCGGACGGGUGAGGAAUACAUCGGAAUCUACUUUUUCGUGGGGGAUCACGUAGGGAAACUUACGCUAAUACCGCAUACGACCUACGGGUGAAAGCAGUGGAUCUUCGGACCUUGCGCGAUUGAAUGAGCCGAUGUCGGAUUAGCUAGUUGGCGGGGUAAAGGCCCACCAAGGCGCCGAUCCGUAGCUGGUCUGAGAGGAUGGUCAGCCACACUGGAACUGAGACACGGUCCAGACUCCUACGGGAGGCAGCAGUGGGGAAUAUUGGACAAUGGGCGCAAGCAUGAUCCAGCCAUACCGCGUGUGUGAAGAAGGCCUUCGGGUUGUAAAGCCCUUUUGUUGGGAAAGAAAAGCAGCAGGUUAAUACCCCGCUGUUCUGACGGUACCCAAAGAAUAAGCACCGGCUAACUUCGUG